UCUGUUAGAAGCACAGCUGUGUGUGCUGUCCACCAACAGCACUGGCAACAUUUCUAUGGUGGGCAGGGAGGAUCUUUGGGGAUUUUGGCUCACCUGGCUUCUCUAUUUUCCAGUUUCCAGUCCCAGGAGUAUAGGAUUUGUCCCCAGAGGUUUCCCCCUACUGCUAAAGGUGCUGUAUUUUUCUUCUAAAAAAUUCAACCACAACAUGUUAGAAUUGCUGACAGAGGAAAAAGGCUGCAUUUGCUGUGUUAUCAAGAGCAUGUUUCCAGUAUCUGUGGCCCUUCUCAUCAAGUUCUAGUUCGGAAACCUGGCAAGGAAGCUGAACCUGAGAAAAUACAGGGGGAAAGGUUAUUAAGACAAGUUACAAACCAGAAGCGAAGAUGAGCUAAAUCCACUGCAGUGUUCUGAAUUUCUGUUGGUGCUCUGUAGUAAUCUGUAAUUGCAGACACAUUGUGAUUUACCUUU
Molecule: long non-coding RNA, 465 nt
Organism: Corvus hawaiiensis (hawaiian crow)
Lineage: Eukaryota; Metazoa; Chordata; Aves; Passeriformes; Corvidae
Exons: 2
Source: RefSeq, a predicted model, not a curated record